CAGCCGCCGCGGUAAUACGUAGGGUGCGAGCGUUAAUCGGAAUUACUGGGCGUAAAGCGUGCGCAGGCGGUGAUGUAAGACAGAUGUGAAAUCCCCGGGCUCAACCUGGGAACUGCAUUAGUGACUGCAUCGCUGGAGUGCGGCAGAGGGGGAUGGAAUUCCGCGUGUAGUAGUGAAAUGCGUAGAUAUGCGGAGGAACACCGAUGGCGAAGGCAAUCCCCUGGGCCUGCACUGACGCUCAUGCACGAAAGCGUGGGGAGCAAACAGGAUUAGAUACCCGCGUAGUCCCUGUCUCUUAUAC
Molecule: ribosomal RNA, 301 nt
Filed under: uncultured bacterium
Lineage: Bacteria
Description: partial 16S ribosomal RNA
Rfam family: Bacterial small subunit ribosomal RNA
Source: RNAcentral